This is a long non-coding RNA of Salmo trutta (river trout), 2240 nucleotides long. The record is from Ensembl. Lineage: Eukaryota; Metazoa; Chordata; Actinopteri; Salmoniformes; Salmonidae.
GACCAACACACCCUGUCUGCCACUAGGGGGGGCAUCAGUUUACCGACUAACACACCCAGUCUGCCACUAGGGGGCAUCAGAUUACCGACCAACACACCCGGUCUGCCACUAGGGGGGGCAUCAGAUUACCGACCAACACACCCGGUCUGCCACUAGGGGGGGCAUCAGAUUACCGACCAACACACCCGGUCUGCCACUAGGGGGCAUCAGAUUACCGACCAACACACCCGGUCUGCCACUAGGGGGGGCAUUAGAUUACCGACCAACACACCCGGUCUGCCACUAGGGGGCAUCAGUUUACCGACCAACACACCCGGUCUGCCACUAGGGGGGGCAUCAGAUUACCGACCAACACACCCAGUGUGCCACUAGGGGGCAUCAGAUUACCGACCAACACACCCGGUCUGCCACUAGGGGGCAUCAGAUUACCGAAAAACACACCCGGUCUGCCACUAGGGGGGGCAUCAGAUUACCAACCAACACACCCGGUCUGCCACUAGGGGCAUCAGAUUACCGACCAACACACCCGGUCUGCCACUAGGGGCAUCAGAUUACCGACCAACACACCCGGUCUGCCACUAGGGGCAUCAGAUUACCGACCAACACACCCGGUCUGCCACUAGGGGGGGCAUCAGAUUACCGACCAACACACCCGGUCUGCCACUAGGGGGCAUCAGAUUACCAACCAACACACCCGGUCUGCCACUAGGGGGGGCAUCAGAUUACCGACCAACACACCCGGUCUGCCACUAGGGGGGUCAUCAGAUUACCAACCAACACACCCGGUCUGCCACGAGGGGCAUCAGAUUACCAACCAACACACCCGGUCUGCCACUAGGGGGGGCAUCAGAUUACCGACCAACACACCCGGUCUGCCACUAGGGGGGGGGCAUCAGAUUACCGACCAACACACCCGGUCUGCCACUAGGGGCAUCAGAUUACCGACCAACACACCCGGUCUGCCACUAGGGGGGGCAUCAGAUUACCAACCAACACACCCGGUCUGCCACUAGGGGCAUCAGAUUACCGACCAACACACCCGGUCUGCCACUAGGGGCAUCAGAUUACCGACCAACACACCCGGUCUGCCACUAGGGGGGGCAUCAGAUUACCGACCAACACACCCGGUCUGCCACUAGGGGGCAUCAGAUUACCGACCAACACACCCGGUCUGCCACUAGGGGGCAUCAGAUUACCAACCAACACACCCGGUCUGCCACUAGGGGGCAUCAGAUUACCGACCAACACACCCGGUCUGCCACUAGGGGGAGCAUCAGAUUACCGACCAACACACCCGGUCUGCCACUAGGGGGGGCAUCAGAUUACCGACCAACACACCCGGUCUGCCACUAGGGGGGGCAUCAGAUUACGACCAACACACCCAGUCUGCCACUAGGGGGGUCAUCAGAUUACCAACCAACACACCCGGUCUGCCACGAGGGGCAUCAGAUUACCGACCAACACAGCCGGUCUGCCACUAGGGGCAUCAGAUACCGACCAACACACCCGGUCUGCCACUAGGGGCAUCAGAUUACUGACCAACACACCCGGUCUGCCACUAGGGGGGCAUCAGAUUACCGACCAACACACCCGGUCUGGCCACUAUGGGGGGCAUCAGAUUACCGACCAACAACCGGGUCUGCCACUAGGGGGCAUCAGAUUACCGACCAACACACCCGGUCUGCCACUAGUGGGCAUCAGAUUACCGACCAACACCCCGGUCUACCACUAGGGGCAUCAGAUUACCGACCAACACACCCGGUCUGCCACUAGUGGGCAUCAGAUUACCGACCAACACACCCGGUCUGCCACUAGGGGCAUCAGAUUACCGACCAACACACCCGGUCUGCCACUAGGGGCAUCAGAUUACCGACCAACACCCGGUCUGCCACUAGGGGCAUCAGAUUACCGACCAACACACCCGGUCUGCCACUAGGGGGGGCAUCAGAUUACCGACCAACACACCCGGUCUGCCACUAGGGGGGCAUCAGAUUACCGACCAACACACCCGGUCUGCCACUAGGGGGCAUCAGAUUACCAACCAACACACCCGGUCUGCCACUAGGGGGCAUCAGAUUACCGACCAACACAACCGGUCUGCCACAAGGGGGGGCAUCAGAUUACCGACCAACACACCCGGUCUGCCACUAGGGGGGGCAUCAGAUUACCGACCAACACACCCGGUCUGCCACUAGGGGGGUCAUCAGAUUACCGACCAACACACCCGGUCUGCCACUAGG